GACGAACGCUGGCGGCGUGCUUAACACAUGCAAGUCGAACGAGACGAUUGAAAGCUUGCUUUCGAAAGUCGAGUGGCAAACGGGUGAGUAACGCGUAGACAACCUGCCUUUGAGAUGGGGACAACAGUUCGAAAGGACUGCUAAUACCGAAUGUUGUAUAUUUUCCACAUGGAAGAUAUAUUAAAGAUGGCCUCUAUUUAUAGCUAUCGCUCAAAGAUGGGUCUGCGUCUGAUUAGCUGGUUGGUGGGGUAACGGCCUACCAAGGCGACGAUCAGUAGCCGGUCUGAGAGGAUGAACGGCCACAUUGGGACUGAGACACGGCCCAGACUCCUACGGGAGGCAGCAGUGGGGAAUCUUCCACAAUGGACGAAAGUCUGAUGGAGUAACGCCGCGUGAGUGAAGAAGGGUUUCGGCUCGUAAAGCUCUGUUGUCGGGGACGAACGUGCAGUAUUUGAAUAAAGUACUGCAAUGACGGUACCUGACGAGGAAGCCACGGCUAACUACGUGCCAGCCGCCGCAGUAA
This 523-nucleotide ribosomal RNA is filed under the name uncultured bacterium. Its description in RNAcentral is "partial 16S ribosomal RNA". It matches the Rfam family "Bacterial small subunit ribosomal RNA", at positions 28 to 523 of the family's 1533-position model. The record is from RNAcentral.